AUUGAACGCUGGCGGCAGGCCUAACACAUGCAAGUCGAGCGGAUGAAGGGUGCUUGCUCCUGGUUUCAGCGGGGGACGGGUGAGUAAUGCCUAGGAAUCUGCCUGGCUGUGGUGUAUAACGUCCUGAAACGGGCGCUAAUACCGCAUAAGUCCUGAUGGCGAAAGUGGGGGAGCUUCGGACCUCACGCUAUCAGAUGAGCCUAGGUCGGAUUAGCUAGUUGGUGGGUUGAAGGCCUACCAAGGCGACGAUCCGUAACUGGUCUGAGAGGAUGAUCAGUCACCCUGGAACUGAGACACGGUCCAGACUCCUACGGGAGGCAGCAGUGGGGAAUAUUGGACAAUGGGCGAAAGCCUGAUCCAGCCAUGCCGCGUGUGUGAAGAAGGUCUUCGGAUUGUAAAGCACUUUUAGUUGGGAGGAAGGGCAGUAAGUUAAUACCUUGCUGUUUUGACGGUACCAACAGAAUAAGCACCGGCUAACUUCGUG
This 484-nucleotide ribosomal RNA is filed under the name uncultured bacterium. Its description in RNAcentral is "partial 16S ribosomal RNA". It matches the Rfam family "Bacterial small subunit ribosomal RNA", at positions 30 to 507 of the family's 1533-position model. The record is from RNAcentral.